ACAAGCGGUGGAGCAUGUGGUUAAUUCGAAGCAACGCGAAGACCUUACCAGGUCUUGACAUCCCGAUGCUAUUCUAGAGAUAGAAAGUUACUUCGGUACAUCGGUGACAGGUGGUGCAUGGUUGUCGUCAGCUCGUGUCGUGAGAUGUUGGGUUAAGUCCCGCAACGAGCGCAACCCCUAUUGUUAGUUGCCAUCAUUCAGUUGGGCACUCUAGCGAGACUGCCGGUAAUAAACCGGAGGAAGGUGGGGAUGACGUCAAAUCAUCAUGCCCCUUAUGACCUGGGCUACACACGUGCUACAAUGGUUGGUACAACGAGUUGCGAGUCGGUGACGGCGAGCUAAUCUCUUAAAGCCAAUCUCAGUUCGGAUUGUAGGCUGCAACUCGCCUACAUGAAGUCGGAAUCGCUAGUAAUCGCGGAUCAGCACGCCGCGGUCGAAUACGUUCCCGGGCCUU
RNAcentral lists this ribosomal RNA (454 nucleotides) under uncultured Streptococcus sp. Its description in RNAcentral is "bacterial SSU rRNA". It matches the Rfam family "Bacterial small subunit ribosomal RNA", at positions 925 to 1382 of the family's 1533-position model. Lineage: Bacteria; Bacillati; Bacillota; Bacilli; Lactobacillales; Streptococcaceae. The record is from RNAcentral.